This 495-nucleotide ribosomal RNA is filed under the name uncultured bacterium. RNAcentral describes it as "partial 16S ribosomal RNA". It matches the Rfam family "Bacterial small subunit ribosomal RNA", at positions 28 to 507 of the family's 1533-position model. The record is from RNAcentral.
GACGAACGCUGGCGGCGUGCCUAAUACAUGCAAGUAGAACGCUGAAGGAGGAGCUUGCUCUUCUGGAUGAGUUGCGAACGGGUGAGUAACGCGUAGGUAACCUGCCUGGUAGCGGGGGAUAACUAUUGGAAACGCUAGCUCAUACCGCAUAAGAUUAUAUGUUUCAUGUCAUUUGCUUAAAAGGUGCAAUUGCAUCACUACCAGAUGGACCUGCGUUGUAUUAGUUAGUUGGUGGGGUAACGGCUCACCAAGGCGACGAUCCAUAGCCGCCCUGAGAUGGGGAGAGGCCACAAUGGGACUGAGACACGGCCCAGACUCCUACGGGAGGCAGCAGUAGGGAAUCUUCGGCAAUGGACGGAAGUCUGACCGAGCAAAGCCGCGUGAGUGAAGAAGGGUUUCGGAUCGGAAAGCUCUGUUGUAAGAGAAGAACGAGUGUGAGAGUGGAAAGUGCACAAUGUGACGGUAUCUUACCAGAAAGGGACGGCUAACUACGUG